RNAcentral lists this long non-coding RNA (369 nucleotides) under Nicotiana benthamiana. Its description in RNAcentral is "long non-coding RNA (NBEN_LNC031052)". The record is from RNAcentral. Lineage: Eukaryota; Viridiplantae; Streptophyta; Magnoliopsida; Solanales; Solanaceae.
CGUUUUGGUCUUGUACCUGUCAUUGUUGCUUCCUCUCCUCAUGCUGCAGAACAGUUCUUGAAGAAUCAUGAUUUGGUUUUUGCCAGCAGACCGUAUAAUGAAGUUCCUCAGUACAUGUUCUAUGAACGGAGGAAUCUUGUCUCAGCCAAGUACGGACCAUACUGGAGAAACAUGCGCAAAUUGUGCACUUUGCAAUUGCUAAGCAACGCCAAGAUCCAUCAAUUUCAGCCUAUGAGGAAACAAGAAGUCGGAAUUCUUGUGAUUAUGAACGGAGGAAUCUGGUCUCAGCCAAGUACGGACCAUAUUGGAGAAACAUGCGCAAAUUGUGCACUCUGCAAUUGCUAAGCAAUGCCAAGAUCCAUCAAUUUC